Lolium rigidum is the source of this 2845-nucleotide RNA transcript. RefSeq lists it as uncharacterized. The transcript is spliced from 6 exons. NCBI's taxonomy places the organism in Eukaryota, Viridiplantae, Streptophyta, Magnoliopsida, Poales, Poaceae. The record is from RefSeq and is a predicted model, not a curated record.
UCUCGGCAGGCCUACAUGGGCCCUCCCGGCAGCGGCCAGAGCAGCAAGAUCGCCAACCAGAUGGCCGUCGCCGGCGCGGUGGUCGGCCUCGGCGAAUCUCUGCGCGGCAGUUCCUAGGCACGAUCUCCAAGGGCGCGACGGGGUCGCGCAGCCGCGACUUCGUGUUAGAGGCGCCGUGCGGUACAUCAUCAAGAACCUCGGCAUGGCGCCGGAGAUCGGGGACAGCCAAGAGGAGGUCAGUGUGCGCCGUGAGGAGCAGCUCCGAUGGAGCCCGGCCGCCUCCAUGUGCUCCAUGUGGGAAUUUCUUUCCACCCCCUUUCUAUUUCAACCCAUAUCCAUGGAGAAGUCACAGGAAUCCCAAUCCCCUCAAGAAAUCUAAUCCUCCAAACUGAAUUUAAGGUGCUGUGGCCGAUUGAAGGCACCAAUGUCACAUCUGCUGGUAUGUACGAGAUGCAUUUGCUUUUAGUAAACCAACACAAUUAUCUCCUUUUAGCAUUGCCCUUCAACAUCUCUAGAGGGGUUGGUAGUGCAGGUCUGAAAUUACUAUUUGCAAAUACCACUGAUUUUUGCAGUAUCUACAUCUAUCCCAAUUGGCUUCUUAUUAUUCUUUCUGUCUGUCAUCUUCUCUGUUUCACUUUCAGCUGGCAACGAAGAUGACGCUGAGGUGUUGUUUCUGGUUCAUUAGAUUUCUUCAUCCGUGUAGUUUUAUAUUGUACAUCCUAGCUAGGCACAAGUACUCCAAAAGGAAACAUUUUAUUCCUUGUGUAAUGAAAGUGAUUUAGAGGAGAAAAAUGCCAGGGAUGCAUUCUCACAGAAAGCACUGAAUCAGCAGAAGUUGCAUGGUAGAAACUGAAACUCUCAACUACACGGUGAAGCCAAUAAGGGAAUCCAGCUCAAGAGCGACGCACAGAAAUCUGAGAAAAGAGGCAAGAACCGAUUUUGUGUGUUCUUAGCUCACAUGCAAGAGAUUGUGCUCCUGGAAAGCCACCUUGAUGAUCGACGCGCUGGAUGAAGCAUUGGGUCAUAAUCCUGCUCCAGAUACUCUAUAGAAAGAGAGCCACUCCUCAAGGAAACUAUUUCAGCAAGCUCCUACAUUGCUAUCUUCACCCGGUGCUGCUGCUUUUUCUUGCGCGCGUUAUGUGGCAGCUACUCUCUCUUUUGUGUAUGUGCUGCACCAUAUAGCUGCAGAUGGUGUCCCCUCCCUCUAGCACAUGUGUUGUUGUUUGUUCCUCUCUCACACACAUGGCAGGUGUUGCUGCUCCUCUCUCCCUGAUGUACAUAAAUUUGUGCAUGCAAAACUGUUCGAUCAUAUGUCUAUGAAGCCUAAAAAAGUUCACCUGGGGCUUCUAUUGCAGUUUAUCAAUGGUGAUCCUGUUUAUGCUGUUCUUUUGCUUGGUUCUCUGAUUUAUAAAUACUUUUUGUUUCCAUCUUUCUCCAUUUAGUUUGACACGAACUCUAAAAAAAAUUGAUCUUCUCGGUUGAUUAUUGGUAGGAAGGGUUUGAAGGAAAACAAUGGAUAUGUAAUGUUUAGGUCUUUUAUAGCGCAUUCUCCACUUUUAUGUUGUUUGCAAAAGUGAUAAUAAGAACUCAUUAAUGAUUGACUUUGCCUUCUCUUUUUUACAAUACUUGCAACUGCUGUUUGGGGCUUUGGGGAGUUGGUGGAGAUAGCUGCAUACUUGGAUUUUGAUAGCUGGAGAUUAAAUAUUUUCUUAUUUACUCUAAUGUUCAGGUGAAAUUUAAUGUGUGUAGUUUUUUUUUGUUCAUGCCAGCGUUUUUCACGCCGUAGCACCUUGGACAGAAAAGUAGUUGUUAUUUUUGGUUCCCUGGAGAUCUUAUGUUUCUUGUGUAAAUUGAAUUAAUUCGAUUGAAUUUCCACCAUAUUAUUUUGUUGUCAUGAUAACGACAAUGUUUGCUAGACAACUUUCUGGAUGUUUAUAGACACAUGACAAAUUUAUAGGGUGAAGUUCUGCAAUUAUAGGAAUUUCUAGCAGAGAGAUUCAUGAGCCGUGCGGCAUUUAUCUUGGUGCUUAUGUACUGAUGUUUGAAGUUUACUUAUGGUAUUGGAAAGAGAAAUACAAUACUGCAUUUUUCAAGGGAAUGAUCAUAUAGGUAUCUAUAGCAAUGAAUUAAGGGAAUCUGUUUUUGUAUUUUAUUCAUCAGAAGUGGGAGUCAGUUAUGAUGAUAACAUAAAUCAAUUCGCUAUUCCUUCUCUAGGAAUUUGAGAAGCUUUCUACAUAUUGGUGGUGAAAUCCAGGCUGCUAGAUUUCAUCAGGGACAUGGAAUAGCUCCCAAAGGAAGUCGCCGGAAUAGAGGAGAUUUAAUUUUGAGGUAUAGGCUCUGUUGAUUUAAUUCAAACUUUGCACACAGACUUGAAAUCUUGCUUGCUACCAUUUUUGACAGUGCCCGCAUCAAGCCAAAGACAUAUUAGUCUUCACCAUUUCGUUUGAGAGAACAAAGUUCUUACCAUAUCAAGCUAUGCUCUGUUCAUAUGGUAUCCAUGCCCCUGAAGAACUAGAUCUUGCUUUGCAGCAGAUUCCCAUCGUCGGGCAUGCCAGAAGAAUGAAGCUUCAAUUUAUUCAUACUGGUUCAUUAUUUAGGUCGUGCAGAUCCAUUGUUAGGACACCACACGCUUGACCAACUUAUCUGAAUUGCUUCCCGCCUCUACCAUGUUUAGUAUCACCAAUGUAACACUGUAUUUCAAUUCAGUUAUACGCGUCUGUACUAUGUUUAGUAUCACCAAUGUAUCAUCGUAUUUCAAUCCAAUUCUACGUGUGUAUGGUGCUGCACCCAAUGGAUAUGCUCAUUUGUGAUGAAAAUACAUGGAUUAUAUGUCCUGUUGCGUCUA